This 4144-nucleotide long non-coding RNA is filed under the name Capsicum annuum. RNAcentral's name for it is "long non-coding RNA (CANN_LNC009311)". The record is from RNAcentral. Lineage: Eukaryota; Viridiplantae; Streptophyta; Magnoliopsida; Solanales; Solanaceae.
CAAAAGUUAGCACAUAAGGGAGGAUUGCUCAAGUCAUCUUUGAGACCACGCGCCUCUUAAAAUUAAACCACUGAUGUGAUCGAGACUCUUCACUUACCAAGUUCAUGUACCUCCCUAAUUAAGAAAAUAAGAAAAGAUAUGGAAAAUUUGAUUAAAAGUAAGAAACACCUUAAUAAAGUGAGUUACAAAAUGCAUAAGAUCACAAUUAAUAUUCAGAUUAAAAAGUGUGUCUGCUGUGAAAUAUAAUUAAGUAACUGAACUAAGGGAAUUGGUGAUGACAACACACACAAUUGUAGUAUUAAUAUUAGAAGCAGCUGGUAAUAUUAAUUUCCCAUAUAUAUUAUUAAUUUCUUUCCUUUUUUGGUAAUACGUGUAUGUGAACAUGAAUGUGAAGGGAAUGAAAGAAGAAGACAGUAUAGAGGUGUGAGGCAAAGGCCAUGGGGAAAAUGGGCAGCCGAAAUCCGUGACCCAAAAAAGGCAGCUAGAGUAUGGCUUGGUACUUUUCACACUGCUGAAGAUGCUGCUGUUGCAUAUGAUGAAGCUGCACUUAAAUUUAAAGGAAACAAAGCUAAACUCAAUUUCCCUGAAAGAGUUCAAUGCAAAACUGAUCAAUUUGGGACUACAUACCUGAUCACUGCUAGUCACCAACAACACCAAUUUCCAGCCAGUAAUUUUCUCUCAAAUUAUAACUCUCAAUUUGGCAGUAAUGAUAACAAUGCUGAUGAUUUGAACUUUGGCGUAGCGCCGAGUUUUUAUCACCCUUCUGCAGGUACAGUGGUUGAUUCGAAAUAUAUAUAGAGGUUGAUUUCUCAGAUGGUUAUUCAACUAACUAAUAGUAUUGUCUUAGAAUGUCUAUGUUUCUUCUUGAUUUGAAUUUUGCUGUAAAGAAAGCGACUUUCUAAUAAAUUGAAUGACCAUCUGAUGAUAAAUCAAUUGAAAAUAUAGACAUGGUAUGUAGGUCAUGGAAUAUAUACAUGUAUGUUGCAUAAUUGUCACCAUCAUCUUGUCUAAAAGCUUAGGUUGUUGGAGAGGAUGUGGUUUUAUUACUUAAUUAUAUCUAUUCCUAAUUCAUUUUUCGUAGGCUGAGCACAUAAAAAAUCCUCUUUGGUAAUGGUUGACAGUGAAAUUCGAACCUAGUACUUGAAACUUACAAGCUUGCUUGCUUUGCUACCAUAUUAAAAAUGUGUGACGUUUCUUAGAAACAACACACUUUUAUUUACUUAAUUUUGUAUUCAGCAAUAUCUAACUCUAUCUCUACUUUUUUUUCGCACGUAUAUAGCAGGAUUCAACCCUAACGCACUGACUUCUGUCGAACCUUCGGAAUCAUCAUCGCUGACAUCUUUGAUACAACAAGUAUCUCAUGUGGAACAAGAACCAAGGUAUAUUAAUCACCAGCAAGAAGAUGAAAAUGUUCUCAGAUUUUCAUCUUAUUUUGGAACUUGUUCAAGUUCAGGUCCUACUGAAAGUAGUUUGGAGGAGUUUGGAGAUCCAAAAUAAUUAAUUUUUUCGACCAACAUGAAGGUAUACAAUUUCUUGAGGAUAUAUGCCUUUUACGUACUAAUUUAUUAAGUUUUUUGUUUUAAAUAAAUGUGUCUUUAAUUUCUUUCUUGUUUGUCAUGAAAUUAAUUAAAAGCACUACUCAAUUGGUUUGGUUAAUAAACUCAAUUGAACAGGAACUGUAUGUACCUUAUGAAAAUAAAUUAAUGUCAUGUUGUUAAAUGUGCUAAGCUCUUUAGUCUGUCUAUAGGUUCAUCACAAUUUGACCUUUUUUUUUUCAUCACAAUUUGACAAAAGUGAUGAAUUCGAAUAUUGAUAGUUUGUUGUUGAAGAGUCUCACCACAUCGGAUGAAAAAAAAGGAUGGGUGAUCUCAUUAAUAUGGCUGUAAGCUAAUUUUUGAGGUUGAGUUAGAUCUAAAAUCCAUCUCUAAUUUAUGCUGCUAAUUUCUAAAUUUUUUUUUUCUUAUUUCCUCUCACUAUAUAAAUUUUGUGCAAGUGUAUAUCACUUAAUCAAAGUUAUAUUGCAUAAUAAUGCAAUUGGAUAUUAUAUACAUUUUGCCACACUAUACUUCCACAAGAUGAGAAUAAUGUUUGUGUACACAUUACUUUUGCAAAUCCCAUCUAUAUAAUUACAUUAAUGAGGAUGUCAUUGUUAAUUGUUGAUAGUAAUUAGUACAUCGCAUAAUUGCCUGAAAUACUAAAAGUGCCAGUAGGUUCUAGAAGAGUGUAUCAUCUCCAUUAUUCGUAAUUAAAGCUCUUGAUUCCUUGUGAACACAUAGACAAACAACACUAAAACGCCAUUCUUUUUAUAAGUGUGGGUGAUCAUCCUCUCGAAUCAGCUACUAAUCAUCAUCUUAAUAAGCUAAUUGUCUCACCAACUAGCUAAUCAGACUCAUGGAUUAUAUUCUUCCUUUUGCUCUUCGAUUAGCUUAUGGGGUAUAGCAGUUUUGACACGUUACUUACUCGUCCGAUGGUAAUUAUAAGUUGCUCCAUAUAUAUCGGUAGUGUAAAAAUCAGUAAAUUUCAUAAUAGUAUAUAUUAUGUUACUACAAGCAAAGCAUAACAUAGAGAUUUACCAUUAAUUAUCUUAUAAAAUCCCGAUUAUAGAAAUACUACUUCACCUAUAAUUAAACAGGUCUUAAUUAAGGCUUCAUGAUUGAGAGACCUUCACUGAAAAUUACUACUACAAUAGUACACAGCUCCUCCUCAUAUGCACUUAAUAUUUUGUUUUGCUUUAAUUCGUCAACAGGAUGUUCUUUUCGUAUUGGAGAAAAAGAGAAAGGUUUGAGACGUGAGAAAAAUUUUCCCUCAAAAAGAUGUUUUUUUUUUAAAAAAAAAAAAUUAAAUUUUGGUCCAAUGUCUGGACCAUUUUAUUCAUAUUUCAAGGAAAAAAACAAAGCCCAAGUUUACUUCAAAAAGAUGUUAUAAUUUACAUAUUUGAAAAAAAAAAAAUCUGGCAAUCUUCGAUUGAAUACAAUGGUGUGAAAUUAAAGGAUAUUGGGCUGGAGUGGAGCACAUGUUUAGAGGCAUUGUUAUGAAUGAGCCUAGAUCAGUAUUGGCAAAACAACCCAACAUUGAACUAAGGGGCUGCGAUUUGGUUGGGAAGCUAGUUAUCCUGGAAUUAACUAUCCAACGAUUAGUUAUUCCAUUCUCAAGAAGGGAUAAAAAUAACAUUACAAUUUCAAGAUGAGUUAUUCUGUGCAUAUUAUCCCAAUCAAACAUGGGAUAAUUAGUUUAUUCUAAAAUUAAUCUCGAAAUUAGUUAUCUCUUAUUCCUCCGACCAUUAAGGGGCUAUUUUUGAUAUCCGGGUUGAUAAAUAGCUGUAAAAUAGGCCAUGUGUAUUGUGCUUAAGCAAAGUAUAUGACUUCUCAUCCCCUUUCCGUCUAAAUCCUAUCUCUUUCUACCCUCUCUAUUAAGAGCUCUUGCAGUCAUUGUUGGGUAUUUAAGAGAGGUGUUUACUACACAACAAAUUAAACCACUUUAUUUGAUAAUUGAAGAUGUUUCUGAGAAUACUUCAUAGGGAACUCAUCAUAUAUUUUAUAGGAAAAAUGUCAGGCCUCUUCCGAAAAGUUACGUAUAUGUCUGUUUAUACGAAUUUAAAUUCAGAUAAACUGACUUUUUGUUAUAGAAAUAAAAUAAGAUACUAAUUAAUUUUUAAUAAAAUACCCAACAUACAUAUAGUUCGUCGGAACUCACCUUUUGACACUUCCAAAGUUCGAUUGAUCAUGGUUGAUGAUACGAUGAUCAGCUUUCCCUUUGUACGUAGCAUGUAAGCGUGUGCAUAAUCAGAAGCUAACCUUUGUUGGAAAAUGCUGUGAUCCUCAUUUUAUAUUUUAGGUGAAAAGCUGACAUUAUUGAAUGAAUAUAAUUAGAGGAUCUAAAAUUUCAAGUUUAUUCGAUCUGGAUUCUAAAAAAACUUGAAACUACUCAAUUCGCCGAUAAGUCCAAUGAAGAAUCUAGGGCUUUAGUUUGCAAAAGCUUAAUUUGUCUCAGGCAUUCCAUGAGUCUCUUUCUUUUUGCAUAUGGCCGCGCUGCCACUCCAUGUUCUAUUACGGGUCAACUUUGAUUUGAAACCCAUUAAUUUAGAAGGAAUAGAAUCUCAAACUCGUAAACUUCAAAUCUUGAAUACUAUACGCAGUGCUUUUGC